AGUGAACGCUGGCGGUAGGCCUAACACAUGCAAGUCGAACGGCAGCACAGUAAGAGCUUGCUCUUACGGGUGGCGAGUGGCGGACGGGUGAGGAAUACAUCGGAAUCUACUUUUUCGUGGGGGAUAACGUAGGGAAACUUACGCUAAUACCGCAUACGACCUACGGGUGAAAGCAGGGGAUCUUCGGACCUUGCGCGAUUGAAUGAGCCGAUGUCGGAUUAGCUAGUUGGCGGGGUAAAGGCCCACCAAGGCGACGAUCCGUAGCUGGUCUGAGAGGAUGAUCAGCCACACUGGAACUGAGACACGGUCCAGACUCCUACGGGAGGCAGCAGUGGGGAAUAUUGGACAAUGGGCGCAAGCCUGAUCCAGCCAUACCGCGGGGGUGAAGAAGGCCUUCGGGUUGUAAGGCCCUUUUGUUGGGAAAGAAAAGCAGCAGGUUAAUACCCCGCUGUUCUGACGGUACCCAAAGAAUAAGCACCGGCUAACUUCGU
This 491-nucleotide ribosomal RNA is filed under the name uncultured bacterium. Its description in RNAcentral is "partial 16S ribosomal RNA". It matches the Rfam family "Bacterial small subunit ribosomal RNA", at positions 29 to 506 of the family's 1533-position model. The record is from RNAcentral.